This is a long non-coding RNA of Pezoporus flaviventris, 1218 nucleotides long. RefSeq lists it as uncharacterized. The record is from RefSeq and is a predicted model, not a curated record. NCBI's taxonomy places the organism in Eukaryota, Metazoa, Chordata, Aves, Psittaciformes, Psittacidae. The transcript has 2 exons.
GCACCGUUUUGGGGGCCGUUCCCGUAGUAACUGGCUGCGGCGGCCUCAGAAAUCAAUGUGAGAAAGAUCUGUUUUAAAGAAAAAUCCUUACAAAGGAGUACGGGAGGACAAGCAAAAGUCACAGGGUAAAAACCUGUGAAGGGCAGUGCUAGGAACUUGGACGAAACUUAGAUGGGGCUUUUUUCAGGUAUUAAGGCCACCACCACAGGAGGACAAGACUAAGCAUGUAGGAGGCAGGGUACUCUAGGUGCAAAGUGAGUAGUUGUUUAUCUCACAUGCAGGCCUGUGCCUGCGCCUUAAGGCAAGUCCUCACGAAGUUGCAGGUAGAGGCCCUGCUUAAUUAAGAGAAUAGCCCUCUUUUCUGGUGUAAUUUGCCUUAUGCCAAGAAAUGGGGAGGAGCAGAGCUGCUAAAGAGGUGUCCAGGUCAUGAACUGCUGUCUCUGUGGUGCUUAUCAGAUCAUGCCUCUCAGGUGGCUUCCAGCAAGGACUCACAGCUGCAGAGGCUGUGGAUGUCACUGGUCCUGCUGCUGGAGGAGAUGGCUGAGAAGAAAGGAAUGCACUUUGCAGUCUUCCACGAAUGAACAGAAGGUGCCUAGCAGUGGAGGGAGACCAGGCUGACUGUAAACCACAUGGCUGUGUUGGGUCCUCACUUUAUCUUUGACAAGUUACAUGGAAGAAAAUACAGUUUUCAACAUUCAGCAUGCAAAAUCCUCAUAUCUUCUAUAAAUGGGCAUUUUACAGGCAGUAUAAGAGUAGUCCAAUACUGAACACACUUGGUUCCUGCCCCACCUUUUCCUCAGCAUCAUCUACUUGUAUGACGGCAGAGAUGCUUUUGGCAUGCGAGGUCCUGGGGAAGCUACUAAUAUCUCUGUGACAGUACCUCCUACAUGUUGAAUAAGCAUUUAAUUUGUCUUCUAGCAUUCUCCACCUCUUAGUAAGGAAUGAAAGUUUAUGGAAGCAUCGUGACAUAGUGUUGUACCUGGCUGCUCUGCACAGUGCCUUGCAGCUAUUGUCUGAAGCUAUGAUUCUUCCACAAGACAUGAGUAUGUUCCAAAUUCUUCAGAUCAAAGUAGAAAGUUUAAAUGACUUCUUCACAGCCACAGCUAAAAAUUACAAAAGUCAGGGGUAACUUUCUGGAGCUCUUGUGUACACAGCUCAACAUACAGCUUCUUGACAGAGAUCUUUGUUAAUAAAGUAAUGGUCUGUGUUUAAGUUAUA